CGGGGAAAUGAAACGCCACACGCCGGCGGACACGCUACAACAACGGGAUGGUUGUGGUAAGGAAAAGAACGAGUAAAGGAACUGCCACACGCGGGACGCGAUCCCCAGUUUGCGGGGUGAAAGUCCUGUGUUGUUGACCCAUCCACCACCCCAACCAGCCUCCUUACAUACCACUCGCUA
This is a long non-coding RNA of Etheostoma spectabile (orangethroat darter), 180 nucleotides long. RefSeq lists it as uncharacterized. The record is from RefSeq and is a predicted model, not a curated record. NCBI's taxonomy places the organism in Eukaryota, Metazoa, Chordata, Actinopteri, Perciformes, Percidae. The transcript has 3 exons.